GAUGAACGCUGGCGGCGUGCCUAAUACAUGCAAGUCGAGCGAACAGACGAGGAGCUUGCUCCUCUGACGUUAGCGGCGGACGGGUGAGUAACACGUGGAUAACCUACCUAUAAGACUGGGAUAACUUCGGGAAACCGGAGCUAAUACCGGAUAAUAUAUUGAACCGCAUGGUUCAAUAGUGAAAGACGGUUUUGCUGUCACUUAUAGAUGGAUCCGCGCCGCAUUAGCUAGUUGGUAAGGUAACGGCUUACCAAGGCGACGAUGCGUAGCCGACCUGAGAGGGUGAUCGGCCACACUGGAACUGAGACACGGCCCAGACUCCUACGGGAGGCAGCAGUAGGGAAUCUUCCGCAAUGGGCGAAAGCCUGACGGAGCAACGCCGCGUGAGUGAUGAAGGUCUUCGGAUCGUAAAACUCUGUUAUUAGGGAAGAACAAAUGUGUAAGUAACUAUGCACGUCUUAACGGUACCUAAUCAGAAAGCCACGGCUAACUACGUG
RNAcentral lists this ribosomal RNA (497 nucleotides) under uncultured bacterium. RNAcentral describes it as "partial 16S ribosomal RNA". It matches the Rfam family "Bacterial small subunit ribosomal RNA", at positions 28 to 507 of the family's 1533-position model. The record is from RNAcentral.